Long non-coding RNA from Carassius auratus (goldfish), 581 nucleotides. RefSeq lists it as uncharacterized. The transcript has 3 exons. Lineage: Eukaryota; Metazoa; Chordata; Actinopteri; Cypriniformes; Cyprinidae. The record is from RefSeq and is a predicted model, not a curated record.
GAAAUUUUUUACAGUGCAGAGAUUCAGUGCUGCUGUCAUCGUCGGGAUUAUGUUUAUGAUGGAGGGAAGUACUAAACACUGAUACUGAAAUACAGAGAGAUGAUGAGAUACUGUGGAAGAUUGGAGAUGAAGUCCUCCGCAUUGAUCGCUUUAACAGACGUGUUGACUGCAGAUGGAGAAACAUUUCUGUGAAUGAUAACGCAGACCUCAUCAUCGCUAACAUCCAGAGUGAUCAGUUUCAAAAGCGCUUUGAAGAAACGACAGUAUAAGGUUAAGGAUGUGAAAGUAGAUGUCCUUCAUUAAUACCAGACAGGUAAUUAAGUGAACUGAAACAGAACAGCAGUAUUUUAUAGUCACUAUAACAAUGUACACAUAAAGAGUUACUGAAUUCAAUCCAUUUUUUUAUGAAACUAAUGAGUAAAGACUUUCUUUUGCUGUGACACAAACAGAUAAGCAUGCUUUGAUUUAUGAUGAAAUUGAUGUAACCGUUUGUGCUGAUGCUGAUAUUGCACUAUUGAUAUUAUGUUGGGGGUUUUUUUGUACUAAGAGUCAGUUUGACUGAUUUAUGUGCUUUCAUUUUU